AUGGCAUUCUUCAUCGUCGCCAUCUUGCUUGGACUCCUCUCCGUCUCUCAACCAGGUGAUCAAUCUUCUUCCGUUGCCCAUUUCAGUCGCAUUCUUGAGCAUUUGCGUCGUGCGGUGUUGCUGAUCUUGCGAUUGUGCAUGGCAGCGCGAGGUGUAAACUACACGUUCAUGAGGGAGGCGAUGCACGCGCCGCCGGUGACCUACUACGACUACAUCGUCAUCGGGGGCGGCACGGCGGGCUGCCCGCUGGCGGCGACGCUGUCCAGGCGCUACCGCGUGCUGCUGCUGGAGCGCGGCGGGUCGCCCUACGACGACGACCGCGUGCUCAACAUGGCGCACUUCUCGGACGUGCUCUCGGACACGUCCGCGUCGUCCCCGUCGCAGCGGUUCGUGUCCGAGGACGGCGUGAUCAACUCGCGGCCGCGGGUGCUGGGCGGCGGCAGCUGCCUCAACGCCGGCUUCUUCACGCGCGCCGGCGCCGGCUACACGAGGGCCGUCGGCUGGGACGCCAGGGAGGUGCUUAGCGCCUACAGGUGGGUGGAGGACGUGGUGGCGUUCCAGCCGGAGCUGGGGCCGUGGCAGGCGGCGGUGCGCCGCGGGCUGCUGGAGACCGGCGUGGUGCCGGACAACGGGUUCACGUUCGACCACAUCCCCGGCACCAAGGUCGGCGGGUCCAUCUUCGACCCGGACGGCCGGCGCCACACGGCGGCCGACCUGCUGCAGUACGCGCGCCCCGAAGGGAUCGACGUGCUCCUCCGGGCCCGAGUGGCCAGGAUCUUGUUCAGUUACAAAGGGACCAAGCCCGUGGCGCGCGGCGUGGUGUACCGCGACUCGCUGGGCAUGGUUCACGUGGCGUACCUCAACCAGGGCGACGCCAACGAGAUCAUCCUGUCGGCGGGGGCGCUUGGCAGUCCGCAGCUGCUGAUGCUCAGCGGCGUCGGGCCCUCCGACCACCUCCGGUCGUUCGGCCUCGACGUCGUCGUCGACAACCCCGGGGUCGGGCAGGGCAUGUCCGACAACCCCAUGAACGCCAUCUACGUGCCGUCGCCGUCGCCGGUCGAGGUGUCGCUCAUCCAGGUCGUCGGCAUCACCAGGUUCGGCAGCUACAUCGAGGGCGCCAGCGGCUCCGACUGGACCACCCGCACCGCCUCCUCCAGCGGCGACGGCGCGCGACAAGCCCGCGUCUUCGGCAUGUUCUCCCCGCAGACGGGGCAGCUCCCGACGGUGCCCCCGAAGCAGCGCACGCCGGAGGCCAUCGCGCGCGCCGUGGAGGCCAUGAGCCGGGUACCGGACGCGGCGCUCCGCGGCGGCUUCAUCCUGGAGAAGGUCCUCGGCCCGCAGUCCACGGGCAGCCUCGCGCUCCGCAACCUGGACCCCGACGACAACCCCAUCGUCCAGUUCAACUACUUCGCCCACCCGGACGACCUCCGGCGCUGCGUCGCCGGCAUCGAGGCCAUCGAGCGGGUCAUCCGCUCCAGGUCCUUCUCGCGGUUCGCGUACCCCAACUUCGCGUUCCCGGCGAUGCUCAACGUCACGGCGGAGUUCCCGGCGAACCUGAUGCGCGUGCGCGGCGGUAGCGACCCCGCGGCGCUCGAGCGGUUCUGCAGGGACACCGUCAUGACCAUCUGGCAUUACCACGGCGGGUGCCAGGUCGGCAGGGUCGUCGACCGCGACUACCGGGUCCUCGGCAUUGAUGCGCUGCGCGUCAUCGACGGCUCCACGUUCAACGCCUCGCCGGGGACCAACCCGCAGGCCACCGUCAUGAUGCUCGGCAGGUACAUGGGAGUCAAAAUCGAAAAGGAGAGGACGCUGAUCGAAGGAGGAGCGAGAAAACUGUAG
RNAcentral lists this ribosomal RNA (1839 nucleotides) under Triticum aestivum (bread wheat). RNAcentral describes it as "partial small subunit ribosomal RNA". The record is from RNAcentral. Lineage: Eukaryota; Viridiplantae; Streptophyta; Magnoliopsida; Poales; Poaceae.